RNAcentral lists this unclassified non-coding RNA (342 nucleotides) under soil metagenome. RNAcentral describes it as "partial contains 5.8S ribosomal RNA, internal transcribed spacer 2, and large subunit ribosomal RNA". The stretch from base 1 to 120 matches the Rfam family "5.8S ribosomal RNA", at positions 35 to 154 of the family's 154-position model. The record is from RNAcentral.
GAUGAAGAACGUAGCGAAAUGCGAUAAGUAAUGUGAAUUGCAGAAUUCAGUGAAUCAUCGAAUCUUUGAACGCACAUUGCGCCCGCCAGCACUCUGGCGGGCAUGCCUGUUCGAGCGUCAUUUCAACCAUCAAGCCCCCAGGGGCUUGUGCUGGGGCCCUGCGGCUGCCCGCAGGCCCUGAAAACCAGUGGCGGGCUCGCUAGUCACACCGAGCGCAGUAGCACAUCUCGCUCAGGGCGUGCGGCGGGCUCCUGCCGUGAAACCCCCCACUGUAACACCAAAGGUUGACCUCGGAUCAGGUAGGAAUACCCGCUGAACUUAAGCAUAUCAAUAAGCGGAGGA